Long non-coding RNA from Coregonus clupeaformis (lake whitefish), 1590 nucleotides. RefSeq lists it as uncharacterized. The record is from RefSeq and is a predicted model, not a curated record. NCBI's taxonomy places the organism in Eukaryota, Metazoa, Chordata, Actinopteri, Salmoniformes, Salmonidae. The transcript has 4 exons.
AUUCACCCCGAUUCUGCCAGUGGCUUGCGGUUAUCAAAAAUAAUGCAGUGACCAAAGAUUAACAGAGUGAUUUUCAGGCUGAACUGAUGGGGAAUCCAUUUUGACGAAAGCUGAGAAGUGAUGCGAUACCAUUGAUUUUUUCUUUCUUUUUUUUCACAACAAAACUGAAGAUUCUCAAUUAGAGGUAACCUAACGUUAGCGAGCUUGCUAGCCUAGCUGGACUAUCUGGGUGGUACAUAAUCUGAUUUCACCAACAUGCGCUUCCAACCCCUAGCUCUGCACAAGGUGAAGGAAAGUUGGCCUAAAUAUUUACAAGUUGAUGGCUAAGACUUCUCAUUUUACAGUUAUCUUGAGUCAUUCCACAGUGCCCUGCUGAAAAAUACCCCAAAGCAGGGGCAUUUUGGCUACACAAGCAUGAGGGAGUGGACACACCUUGCAGUUAUGGAGCGCAACAAGAUUGUGGGACAGAAACCUGCAAGGGACACUGAAAGGAGACAUGCAGUACCAGCAAAUCGUCUGCAAGAGGACCAAAAAUUUGGUGGUUACGAAGCCCUACACCACUUUCGGAAGAAUCUUAUCCAGCUGGCCGUUCACCACAGACAGGACAAGCCCAUCGCCAUAAGCACAAGAAGUCUCAGCUUCUCAUGCACACCAUGCCGAACACCAUUGCCAGUAUACCGAAGCCGGAUAAAGGACUAUGCUGCGUUUACCAGGGGAGAAUGACUGCUCACUCGCCUUGAGGAUUUCAAGUUCAAGGUUGACAGCGGUACUGCAGGCAAUUGUUUCCAGAAAACAGGAUCCCCUAUUAUAGUCAAUGGGAGUAUGGCGAUCUUCGUGGUCAAUAUUCCUGGAUAAAAUGUUUUUUAUUUCUAACACAAUCGUGUAUGAAUAUUUGCUUCUAUUUCACCAGAUGUAUGUCCUUCAACCAAUUACUUUAAAAUCGCACACUGAAAAAGUUAUGAGGAUAAUAUUUUAGCUACCAGCAGCUAGUUUUGACGUCACAAUCCUGUGUAGAGAAGAAGAGCGAGAACCUUAUAUGGUCAUUGAACUCCGCGGGAAAGAUGUUCCAGUCUCCUUCUUCCUUACAGGCUGAUAGUUUUUAUAUCAGAGCUAUUUUUAUGAUCGCGCCACUUUCCAGUGUUUGUUCUUCGGGUAUGGGAUACAGUUUUGAUAGCAAGGGCAAACAUGCCUUGUUCAUGAUUUAACUGCACUAAUCGCUAUUCCAAGGAGGAUCAUUUGUUUGGUAAGUCUAUCAUCUAAUUAAAUUAAGAUUUUCACUUUCAUAUUUUUGUAUCAACUAGGGCUAGGCUUAUGCUAGUAGAGGGUUAGCUAACAGAUAGCUUAGCUUCUAAUGCUAGCUUUUGCAUGAAUGUUCCAAUUUUAUGUUCAAUAAUGAGUGACAUCAGAAUCAUCGUACAGUACGUUUGCUAGUAGCAAGUAUGUUCAUGAGUCAUGAAUACAGGUUUGUCACAGAGGUCUGACAUUUUUUAUUACAUUUUUAUUUAACCUUUAUUUAACUAGGCAAGUCAUUAGCUAGAUAAUGGUAGCUAGCUAGCUAGCUAAUAUCAACUCCAACAUGCACCUGCCUGU